GAUGAACGCUGGCGGCGUGCCUAAUACAUGCAAGUCGAGCGACCUCACGAGAAUGUUGCUUCUCUUAUGUUAGCGGCGGCCGGUUGAGUAACACGUGGAUCCCCUCCCUAUCCUACUGGGAUAACUUCGGGAAACCGGCGCUAUUACCCCAUAAUAUUUUGAACCGCCUGUUUCCUUAGUGGAAGACGGUCUUCCUUUCACUUAUAGCUUGAUCCGCGCUGCAUUAGUUAGUUGGUAAGGUAACGGCUUACCAACGCAACGAUGCGUAGCCGACCUGAGAGGGGGAUAGGCCACACUGGAACGGAGACACGAUCCAGACUACUACGGGAGGGAGGAGUAGGGAAUAGUCCGCAAUGGGCGAAGGCCUGACGGAGCAAAGCCGCGUGAGUGAUGAAGGGGAGCGGAUAGGAAAACUCAGUUAUUAGGGAAGAACAGAUGUGUAAGUAACGGGGCACAUCGUGACGGUACCUAAUCAGAAAGCAACGGCUAACUACGUG
Molecule: ribosomal RNA, 497 nt
Filed under: uncultured bacterium
Lineage: Bacteria
Description: partial 16S ribosomal RNA
Rfam family: Bacterial small subunit ribosomal RNA
Source: RNAcentral